AAGAAAGAUAAAAUUGAAGCUGCUAACUUUAAUUAGGGGGUGCAAGUCCUCCCUUUCUUU
RNAcentral lists this transfer RNA (60 nucleotides) under Elysia viridis. RNAcentral's name for it is "tRNA-Ser". The record is from RNAcentral. Lineage: Eukaryota; Metazoa; Mollusca; Gastropoda; Plakobranchidae.